AGUUAACAAAGAAAGUUGUUUAUAAUUUGUGAUACCUGUUAUCUCUGACUGAGGUUUUAGUUUUUGUUGAGCCGAUUUACACGUAGAAACUUUGUUCAGGAAGAUUUCUCAGUAGCUCAGAGGACAGGCUGCUUUUUACACAACCUUGUAAGAGAAUGUCUGUCAAUGCUUUCAGCAGAAUUUAGAAACACAACACUUCCUAAACAGAUAUUUUGAGGCUGUGAGGUUGAACGUUUGAGAGUCUAUCAGUGUGUUUGUUUGUGGUCUUUCUGUUUCUAGGUGGAAGCUGAAUUAGUGAGGAUGACUCCUGCUCCUGUCAUCUCUAAGCUCCUCACACAUCUUUACCUGCACAUGAGGAAAAUCACUCCUGUAGAAUGCAGAUGUUCAGAGGGAGAUGAUGCCACAUCUGGUCCAGCUGAUGGAAGGUCUUGAAGUUCUCUGACUGGCCUCGACUGAAGAUGGUCGUCUCACUGGAUUUAAGGAACUUCUGCAGAGUCCUGGUUCCAGAACAUGAUGAUGCACAAUGAGGGACGUCUGCAGCGACUGAGAAAGAGUCUCACCACAUCCUGACAUGAGGAAAAAGACUUUAUUGAAGACUACAAUGAGAAAAACUAUCAGACAGCAGACGGCUGCAUUCAAGUCUGUAGCUGCUGAAUUCAUGGAUGAAUCAUCUGGCACUAGAGAGGAAGACCAUCAAACAUCCACGUCAGCUGAUGGAGGUCCAAGAGUCUCACCAAACAAACAACCUACAGAGUGAAGACCUCGAAUCUGAUUGGACAGCCUCCUAUUGAGCCACAUGUGUGAACAAAUGUCUCUAAGUUGAUUUGUUCUCUAAAAUAAAUCUAGUUUGAGUCCUAAUCUAUGCCUGUGUUUGCUUCUUUACACUGCUGUUAACAGUUUAGGCUGUUAGAUUGUUCCAGAUAAGACAAGUACAAGAUUCUUCAGAGCCGUUCUACCACGAGCCUGACAGGAAGAACUCCAACAGCUACUGAAUGUUCCUGUGGUUCCCUCAAGGCUACAGGAGGAGUCCUACGAGGACGAGCCGGUCCACCUGAUGGUGGCCAGUCGCUGCGGUUCAAAGCCAACACCGACUACGUGGACUUCUACUGGACUAAAUGGAGGCCUUCAAACCGGACCAACAAGUUCAGCGACUCCCUGACUCGUGGGUCUGAGGACGCUGCUGAGCCUCGGUCCAGCCGGCUGCCUGUCUGUGGGUGUUUGAGUGCUGAGAGGUUUGUGGAUGCAUGUGAACGUUCUGUGUUGAAACAGCAGCUUUGGACUCAGUAACGCCGGGAAAAACCAAGAGCUCCUUUAUUUGUGACUUCCACUAAAAAAACUGAUGAAAAUAAGUUUGCCAGGGUUCUGACUGAUAACAAAUUAUUAAAUAAUGAAAAUAAUCCUUUAAAUAUUCCUUUAAACAAUCCUUUUAGUUACACAUUUCCUUUACACUGACUUCUUGGUAUAUGUACAAGUGUUUUAGGUGGAAUAUACCAUUAAGCCCAAUGUUCAAGGCUUCUUCUGGGAAUAUACCAUUAAACCAACCUUUUAGGUAAAUGUUCCACGAUGUUGGGGAGAAUAUACCAUCAGAUCAACCUUUUAGGUCUACAUUGGAAGAUUUUAGAGUAGAAUAUUACUCCAAAACAUCCUUUAGGUCAACAUUUAAGGUGGAAUAUUCCUUUGAACGAACUUUUUAAAUUUAUGUUCAAGGAUGUUGGGUGGAAUAUACCAUCAGACCAACCUCCAAGGUCUACAGUAGUGAAUUUUAGGUGGAAUAUACCAUUAAACUCACCUUUCAGGUCUACAUUGGAGGAUUUUAGGUGGAAUUUUAUUCCAAACCGUCUUUUAGUCUACAUUUAAGGAUGUUUCGGAUUUUAUAUUCUUCCAAACCAACUUCUCAGGUCUUCCUUUCAGGUGGAAUAUUCCUUCAUACUAACUUUUUUGGUCUACAUUUAAGGAUUUUUUGUAAACCACCCUUUGGGGUCUAUAUUUGAGGUUUUAGGUGGAAUAUUCCUUUUAACCAGCCCCUCAGGUCUCUUUGAGGAUUUUGGAUGGAAUACUCGGUUAAACCAACAUUUUAGGUGCAUGUCCAAGGAUUUUUGGUGGAAUGUUCCUUUAAGGUGGAUGUGUGAGGACCUUGUAGGUGGAAUACUUCCUGAAACCAACCUUUUAGGUCAACAUUCAAAGAUUUAAGGUGGAAUAUUCCUUUAAACCAACCUAAAUUUCAUGUUUUGAUCAUUAUCAAGUGAGAAACCUCAAUCCAGACUCCUCAUAAUGACAUUUGAGAUUCAUGCUGCUGUUAUUUGUUUAGUCCAGACUAAACAACAGAAAUCCACAACUGUAAUUUUAUUUCAGGACUCGGUUAUUAAAUGUCAAAACAAUUCAUGUGAAUCUAAAAACUCAACAGCUUUACAAACUCUAAGAUUAAACUCUCCACAAGGAUCCAAAAUAAGUUGGACUUCUACAUGAGAACUUUAAUUAUUCUUCAUCUACUUCCUGAAAAGUUUGGUCAAUAAAAAAGACAAAAACUAAUAUUUUCAGCUGAACUAAAGACAGGCUUUGUGAUUUUUCUGCUCACAUGUUGUGUUGUUGUAAACUUACUCUUUCAAAUAAAUAGCCUCCUAACCCCCUGGAAACCAGCGUUUGUCCUGUUUUUGUGUUGCUCCUCGGUGACCCCAGACAGCCGGGUCGUAAUGUUUUUUGAGCAACACACCAUACUAUGACGUUUUUACAAUGAUGGUUCUACUAUGGAACCAGUUUGACAUGUUCAGGUGUUCUUUGUGUGAAAACUCAGAGAUUUCAGGGAUCAGAAGGUGUUUUUCAACUUUCUUUGUUAACUUUCUGCUUCAACUUUAAACUAAAUUUCCUUGACUAAGCCAGCCCUCUGGACUUCCAGUAAGCUGUGUUCCUAUUGGCUGUCCAGGUGGCUGCUUGGUGUUAUCAGGAACACCUGAGCAGCUCAGUGUCUUCCUGCUUCAUGUGGCUGCAGCCAAACAUUUCCUCUGUUUCUCUUCACCACUGAACCGGGUUUGGCUCCGUUGCUUUUGUUCUUUAGGCGUUAGCUUGCAGCUUCCA
Molecule: long non-coding RNA, 3072 nt
Organism: Amphiprion ocellaris (clown anemonefish)
Lineage: Eukaryota; Metazoa; Chordata; Actinopteri; Pomacentridae
Exons: 5
Source: RefSeq, a predicted model, not a curated record